RNAcentral lists this small RNA (507 nucleotides) under Pan troglodytes (chimpanzee). RNAcentral describes it as "processed transcript". Lineage: Eukaryota; Metazoa; Chordata; Mammalia; Primates; Hominidae. The record is from RNAcentral.
UUUUACGGAUGGGAGUUUGAGAAUUAAAAAGCAAACUCUGCUUCAUUCUCCAGGCAAGCUGUAUUCACGGCUGGUCUAUGUCGAGGGGGACCAGCUCUCCCUGCAGAUCCAGGAUACUCCCGGGGGCGUCCAGAUCCAAGACAGCCUCCCCCAGGUCGUCGAUUCCCUGUCCAAAUGCGUGCAGUGGGCCGAGGGUUUUCUGCUGGUCUAUUCCAUCACAGACUAUGACAGCUACUUGUCCAUCCGACCCCUUUAUCAGCACAUCCGGAAGGUCCACCCUGACUCUAAAGCCCCUGUCAUCAUCGUGGGCAACAAGGGGGACCUUUUGCAUGCCCGGCAGGUGCAGACACAGGACGGUAUUCAGCUAGCCAAUGAGCUGGGCAGCCUGUUCCUUGAAAUUUCCACUAGCGAAAACUACGAAGAUGUCUGUGAUGUGUUUCAGCAUCUCUGCAAAGAAGUGAGCAAGAUGCACGGCCUCAGUGGGGAAAGAAGAAGAGCCUCCAUCAU